RNAcentral lists this ribosomal RNA (501 nucleotides) under uncultured bacterium. Its description in RNAcentral is "bacterial SSU rRNA". It matches the Rfam family "Bacterial small subunit ribosomal RNA", at positions 19 to 518 of the family's 1533-position model. The record is from RNAcentral.
AUGGCUCAGGACGAACGCUGGCGGCGUGCCUAAUACAUGCAAGUCGAACGAACUGUGGAAAGCUUGCUUUUCAGAGUUAGUGGCGAACGGGUGAGUAACACGUAAGUAACCUAGCUAUUAGACGAGGAUAACUACUGGAAACGGUAGCUAAGACUGGAUAUGAUAGAAAUAUUUAAAGGAUGCUAAGGCAUCGCUAAUAGAGGGGCUUGCGGCGCAUUAGCUAGUUGGUAGGGUAAAAGCCAACCAAGGCGAUGAUGCGUAGCCGACCUGAGAGGGUGACCGGCCACACUGGGACUGAGACACGGCCCAGACUCCUACGGGAGGCAGCAGUAGGGAAUCUUCGGCAAUGGACGGAAGUCUGACCGAGCAACGCCGCGUGAGUGAAGAAAGUUUUCGGAUUGUAAAGCUCUGUUAUUAGGGGAGAAAGGCUCUAGGAGGAAAUGCUUAGGGAUUGACGGUACCUAAUGAGGAAGCCACGGCUAACUACGUGCCAGCCGCCGC